AGAUUGAACGCUGGCGGCAGGCCUAACACAUGCAAGUCGAGCGGCAGCACGGGUACUUGUACCUGGUGGCGAGCGGCGGACGGGUGAGUAAUGCCUAGGAAUCUGCCUGGUAGUGGGGGAUAACGCUCGGAAACGGACGCUAAUACCGCAUACGUCCUACGGGAGAAAGCAGGGGACCUUCGGGCCUUGCGCUAUCAGAUGAGCCUAGGUCGGAUUAGCUAGUUGGUGAGGUAAUGGCUCACCAAGGCGACGAUCCGUAACUGGUCUGAGAGGAUGAUCAGUCACACUGGAACUGAAGACACGGUACCAGACUCCUACGGGAGGCAGCAGGUAGGGGGAAAUAGUUGGAACAAGUGGGACGAAAAGGCCUGAAGUCCCAAGGCCAUGGCCCGCGGUGUGUAGGAAAGUAAGGUCGUUCGGAAUUUAG
Molecule: ribosomal RNA, 427 nt
Filed under: uncultured soil bacterium
Lineage: Bacteria
Description: bacterial SSU rRNA
Rfam family: Bacterial small subunit ribosomal RNA
Source: RNAcentral